AUUUCCUUGGCUCUCAUGUGCUGGUAGCUUGAAGCCAUGAGCCAAGCGGCUUUGCCUAACCACGGCCUUCUGCCACGUCUGUGCCUUAGAACACAUCAAUCGUGGAAUGAAGCAUCUGAAACUUUAAAUCAACACAAGCUUCUCCUCCUUCACAUUACAGAUACCAGGAACCUGGAAAGAGCUGAAGCUGCUCUGUGUGAAGAGGGAAUGGCCAAGGCUACCCCGUGUCUUAUAUGUCAGCCCCU
Fukomys damarensis (Damara mole-rat) is the source of this 245-nucleotide long non-coding RNA. RefSeq lists it as uncharacterized. The record is from RefSeq and is a predicted model, not a curated record. The transcript has 3 exons. NCBI's taxonomy places the organism in Eukaryota, Metazoa, Chordata, Mammalia, Rodentia, Bathyergidae.